Molecule: ribosomal RNA, 317 nt
Filed under: uncultured bacterium
Lineage: Bacteria
Description: bacterial SSU rRNA
Rfam family: Bacterial small subunit ribosomal RNA
Source: RNAcentral
GAUGAACGCUAGCUACAGGCUUAACACAUGCAAGUCGAGGGGCAGCAUGGCCUAUCUUUCGGGAUGGGCCGAUGGCGACCGGCGCACGGGUGAGUAACGCGUAUCCAACCUUCCCUUUACUGGGGUCCAGCCCGUCGAAAGGCGGAUUAAUCCCCCAUGUUCUCCGUCCCGGACAUCUGUGUCGGAGCAAAGAUUUAUCGGUAAAGGAUGGGGAUGCGUCCGAUUAGCGUGUUGGCGGGGUAACGGCCCACCAAGGCAUCGAUCGGUAGGGGUUCUGAGAGGAAGGUCCCCCACACUGGAACUGAGACACGGUCCAG